CCAUAUUGCACUGAGGACCAUAGGGACUCAUAUCAUUUCAUUUCUCAUGGAGCUGAAAUUGGGUUUCAAAAGCAAGCUGCCACGAGUUCUACAGCUGCAAGGAAAUUACUUCUGUCAACAACCCAAGGGAGCUUGGCAGUAGACUCUUUCCGUGUUGAGUUCACCGAUGAGACAAAGCCCAGGUCAACAUCAUGAUUUCAGCUCGAAGAAAGCUAGGAGGCAGAGACUCAUAGUAAUGCAUCCAAAUCAUAUUAAACAAAGGAUCAGCAUCACCAUGAGAAAGCGCUUGUGGAUGCUCCAUUCUGAGGACAGUGAAAACUUUACAUCUCUCCUUAAAAAUGGCAGGAGACACUUAUGGGUGG
Cebus imitator (Panamanian white-faced capuchin) is the source of this 362-nucleotide long non-coding RNA. RefSeq lists it as uncharacterized. Lineage: Eukaryota; Metazoa; Chordata; Mammalia; Primates; Cebidae. The record is from RefSeq and is a predicted model, not a curated record. The transcript is spliced from 3 exons.